This is a long non-coding RNA of Hipposideros armiger (great roundleaf bat), 1189 nucleotides long. RefSeq lists it as uncharacterized. The transcript has 3 exons. NCBI's taxonomy places the organism in Eukaryota, Metazoa, Chordata, Mammalia, Chiroptera, Hipposideridae. The record is from RefSeq and is a predicted model, not a curated record.
UGGACAGCGGGAUGGCCAAGACCAUGCUGGGGAUCCCCAGGGAGCUGCCUGGCCAGUAGCUGCCACCCUCAGGGCAGGCCGCCCUCCUGGCCUGGGCUGCUCCCAGUGAGGCCUGCUGCUGGGAAAGUACUAGAAAUAGAAAUAUUUCCACGUAAGCGACUGACACUGCAGAUGCUUCAGUCUUAGCAGGACUGUGCUUCUGCUCAAAUCCCAUCCCUACGAGAGGCCCCAGGUGCAAACAUGCAUUCAGCAGCGCGCUUACAAUUUGGGAUACUUUCUGAAUGUACCUUAUGCCUUCUAAACGCAUUUGAAAAAUUACCACAAGGAAAACAAACAAACAAACAAACAAACACCUGAGAUGUCUCUAGGCUUCAAAUAUAACCCAGUCAGGGGCGUGUCCACCACCCAGCAGAGGAGCCACAGCCAGGAGGAUUCUGGGAGUCUGAUCCCAUGGGGGUGGGGUGCUGCAUGAUGGUCCCACGCAUGUGUCCUGGUGCCACCGAGAAAAAGGACAGUCAGGAUUCGGGACUGAGAAUACCAAGCCCGAGGUCGUGUGGCCAUCACACCAGCAGGGAGCUCCAGCCUUCACAGGCGUGCCCACGAAAGCAGGCGGCACAGCGGCUCCAGGGUGAAGGACGCACACAAGAGGCUGACAUGUGAGCCGUGCACGGGAUGCGUGCGGAAGUGUGCGAGCAUGGCGCAGGGCACAGACACGCGCUGGCCACCGCAGCAGCACCGUCCGCUGAGUGGCCAAACACCCAGCAGCCAUCCCCAGUGGUCCCUCUCUCCUCUCUGGACCCCGCUGGGGAAGGGGGUAGCGGGUCUUUGGAAAACCUCUGCUCAGCGCCCUGCCAGCUGCCUUGCUGGCCCAGCCCAGGCAGGAGGCCUAGAAAGAUCCUCUGCUCCCUCCCUCUAGAAGGAUCCUCUACUCCUUCCUUCUAGAUUGGCUGUGCUAACCCCGACUGCACAUCAAAUUUCCUGGGAGCUUUCCCUACCUGGUGCCUAAGUGGGUUUGUCGGGACUUUGGGUCCUACACCAGGAUAAACAGGGACGAUUGGUCUCUCCAUCUGGCCAAAGCCUGGGAUGCCUGGGGUGGGGCCUGCACCUGUAAUUCUAAUGCUCCAGGUGACUCCAACAUGCAGUUAAGGUGAGACCGUGGGUCUAGACCAGCGGUUCUCAACCUUCCUAA